UCGGGGCAAGCUAACGUAGGGAGGACCGCAGGUCCAUCGGCUGCCAUGAAGCAACAAAGACAGGCAAACGCGUUAGGCAUACCACCACCAGGCCAAGAACGACCGCAUCAAAGGAUCAGAGAAGGCCCCGAACGCACAGUUUGUACCAACACCAUCAUCAAGGAUGUGAUCGGUUUGUUGUCACAACAGUUUAUGAGCAAAACCGAGCAGUUGCAAAGCCUUUAUGAAUGGAAUGAUGGGACAGUAUCGCUUGUCGUACAGCAUAAAAUGAUGCAAAUACCGUACAAUAUCUAAUUGACAAGCUGCAGCAGUUGAUGAUCCCGAAUGGUUCAUGUUUAAGUGUUCAACAGAAAAAGGCGACUUCGGGGCAAGCUAACGUAGGGAGGACCGCAGGUCCAUCGGCUGCCAUGAAGCAACAAAGACAGGCAAACGCGUUAGGCAUACCACCAGCAGGCCAAGAACGACCGCAUCAAAGGAUCAGAGAAGGCCCCGAACGCACAGUUUGUACCAACACCAUCAUCAAGGAUGUGAUCGGUUUGUUGUCACAACAGUUUAUGAGCAAAACCGAGCAGUUGCAAAGCCUUUAUGAAUGGAAUGAUGGGACAGUAUUGCUUGCCGUACAGCAUAAAAUGAGAGGUGUCGCUAAGAAAUGGUAAGGUGCAAAGAUGGUUUUCCAAUCUUGGAAAUAGUUCAAGACCGUUCCUUUACAAGAUUUUCAAAGCUGAUUGCAAAAUUACCAGUAGUUACCAGGAAACAGACCAUAUUUUUUAUUUGCAAUUAUGUACGCUUGUAUUUCACGCAGACCGUUGACCGAUUUUUAGUCUUUUUACGUUUAAAACAAGACCAGAUCCCUUAUCACCUUUUCAUAGGGCCAACAAUUUCUAAAAAACUGGACACAGUUUUAAAUUUUUCAAAUUUCGAUAUAAAUCUGCAAGUAUUACUAUCAGAGUCUUAUUGGCCGUGGUCUUAUUUACAGACUACCAUUGCAAAGUUACCAGUGGUUACCAAUAAACAGGCUAAUCGAGUUUCUACAGGCAAUCCAAAAGUUUCAGCUUGCAGAGUAAGGACAUGUUUAAAGGACUCUUGGUAAUGGCAAACGGAAUUCAGCCACAGACUUUGAAAAUGAGGGAGUUAUUAACCUUGGCCAGACAAAGUAGUCAAAUUUUCCAUAGUGCUCAGGAAUCGAGAAAACCAUAUGCAUCAGCGAUUAUGGAACGCCGCAACACGAUGGUGAUGUACGCAGAUAUCUCAGCAUUAUUAGAUUCUUCCGUAAGUUUGUCAAGGAAUAUAGCAUGAAGGCAGCUUCUUUGAGUGAGCUUCUGAAAAAUUAAGAGUUCCUGUGAGAAGCAGAACAAAAAAAAGCAAUCCAAAACUCAAAGAAAGCUAUCACAUCGCAGCCCGUAUUGACUUUUUAUGAUCCAGCUCGGCGCAACGAAGUACACACGGAUGCAAGCAACAAAGGUAUUGCAGGCGUUCUACUGCAAGAAGAAGACAAAGGACUCAGGCCUGUAUCUACUCUACGCUACUCAAGCUAUGCGAUGUUAGCAAUUACCGAGUCCUUGGAAAGAAUCCGCUUUUAUCUCAUUGUUAAAGCCGAAUGUAUCGAAAAACUGAUAAUAGUAAUUAGUUGGUGGUACCUCAAGCAAUCAGAUGGCGCAUAAGCAAGUGAAACCAUGAUGAAGCAGGACAUUUUUAAGCCAAAAAGACUUUGGAAAGACUAAUGAAAUAUUUUUAGUUUCCCAGGAUGCGCGGAUCUAUCAAGUCUUUUAUUGCGUCUUGCCCUGAACGCUGAGUCAAUAAGUUAAAAAGCGGAAAGUCUGAUGGUGAACUAUACAUCCGGGAAGUAGUACCCGUUCCGUACGUUCCGAAAAAUUAACAUUGAUCACAUUGAGCCGUUCAUAAAAAGUAAAACCGGACACUGUCACAUACUGGUACAUACACCUGUCUUAUACCAACACGUAACACAAAAACGACACCAGUUAUCAAAGCCCUGAAACAAUUUUUGUGCGUUUUUGGGUAACCUGUACGCAUAAUUUCAGAUAAAACACAUCGUUUACAUCAAAGCAAUUCGACUAUUUUAUUAAUGAAAAUGGAAUUCAGCACAUUAAAAAAGGAGGUUCGCAUGUCUCGCGCUAAUAGACAUAAACUACCACAGUCAUCAAUAAAAAUUGGAUGAAAAUCUUGGUAAAAUUCAGUGGAGCAUGAAUACGAACAUCAAUUCUACCACAAAGUGUAUCCCAAAUGAUCUGGAAUCUGAACCAGAAGUCAAUGUUGAAUUAAAGCAAGCAGGACAAAACAUUAAAGCAGGGCAGCUAAAAUGGAAGAUACGAUAUGAAGCCAUGCAUACUUACACAGGGAAAUUCGGUGUAGAAGAUUUGGUUAAGAUCGAUUUUGUUCAGGCUGCGACAGGAGAUACACAUAAAUUGGAUCCAGCCUCUAAAGGACCUUAUGUGGUAAUAAAGGUUCUGUUGAACGACCGGUACGUAAUUAAUCGUUCAGUUUCUCAACGACGAAACAAGAACUUAGUAUCCAUCGAUCACGUGAAGCCUUGGUGUGCUUUAAUCCGAGAUCUGGAUACCAAUGAUGUAAACUAUAUUUACUCAACAGAAGGCUAACUAUCGUCAGGAAAGGCCGAGAUGUCAAUAAUAGAGCAGUACGGUCGGCAAUGCCAAAGGAGUAAGACGUAUGCCGCACGCUCACAAGGCAACCAAAUCUCUAUAUACAUUGUGUUACUUAUAUAUUUCAUAAAAUUCCUUUAUAAAUAAAUUCCUCCUUAAUUAGCAUCCUGAACAA
This is a long non-coding RNA of Drosophila biarmipes, 2793 nucleotides long. RefSeq lists it as uncharacterized. NCBI's taxonomy places the organism in Eukaryota, Metazoa, Arthropoda, Insecta, Diptera, Drosophilidae. The transcript is spliced from 2 exons. The record is from RefSeq and is a predicted model, not a curated record.